Caenorhabditis elegans is the source of this 62-nucleotide microRNA precursor. The record is from Ensembl. NCBI's taxonomy places the organism in Eukaryota, Metazoa, Nematoda, Chromadorea, Rhabditida, Rhabditidae.
CAGAGCGGGCAGUCGGUGUCAAUCUGCAACAAUAGCAGGUUGACCCUUGUGCUUGUUUCGGC